AACGAACGCUGGCGGCAGGCUUAACACAUGCAAGUCGAGCGCCCCGCAAGGGGAGCGGCAGCCGGGUGAGUAACGCUUGGGAACAUACCCAACCCUACGGAAUAACCCAGGGAAACUUGGACUAAUACCGUAUACGCCCUUUUGGGGAAAGAUUUAUCGGGGAUGGAUUGGCCCGCGUUGGAUUAGCUAGUUGGUGGGGUAAAGGCCUACCAAGGCGACGAUCCAUAGCUGGUCUGAGAGGAUGAUCAGCCACAUUGGGACUGAGACACGGCCCAAACUCCUACGGGAGGCAGCAGUGGGGAAUAUUGGACAAUGGGCGCAAGCCUGAUCCAGCCAUGCCGCGUGAGUGAUGAAGGCCUUAGGGUUGUAAAGCUCUUUCACCGAUGAAGAUAAUGACGGUAGUCGGAGAAGAAGCCCCGGCUAACUUCGUG
Molecule: ribosomal RNA, 431 nt
Filed under: uncultured bacterium
Lineage: Bacteria
Description: partial 16S ribosomal RNA
Rfam family: Bacterial small subunit ribosomal RNA
Source: RNAcentral